This 153-nucleotide RNase P RNA is filed under the name Bacillota bacterium. Its description in RNAcentral is "partial RNase P RNA component class A". It matches the Rfam family "Bacterial RNase P class A", at positions 211 to 367 of the family's 367-position model. From Rfam's summary of the family: Ribonuclease P (RNase P) is a ubiquitous endoribonuclease, found in archaea, bacteria and eukarya as well as chloroplasts and mitochondria. Its best characterised activity is the generation of mature 5'-ends of tRNAs by cleaving the 5'-leader elements of precursor-tRNAs. The record is from RNAcentral. Lineage: Bacteria; Bacillati; Bacillota.
CCCCACCCGGAGCAAGACCAAAUAGGGGAGAGUUGACGUGGCCCGCCGAUCUCCCGGGUUAGGUCGCUAGAGAUGUUAGGUAACUAACAUCCCAGAGAGAUGACUAUCGCCCCGUCAGGGGAACAGAACUCGGCUUACAGACCUGCUUUAUAU